CCUACGGGCGGCAGCAGUGAGGAAUAUUGGUCAAUGGACGAGAGUCUGAACCAGCCAAGUAGCGUGAAGGAUGACUGCCCUAUGGGUUGUAAACUUCUUUUAUAUGGGAAUAAAACGUUCCACGUGUGGGAUUUUGUAUGUACCAUAUGAAUAAGGAUCGGCUAACUCCGUGCCAGCAGCCGCGGUAAUACGGAGGAUCCGAGCGUUAUCCGGAUUUAUUGGGUUUAAAGGGAGCGUAGGUGGAUUGUUAAGUCAGUUGUGAAAGUUUGCGGCUCAACCGUAAAUUUGCAGUUGAAACUGGCAGUCUUGAGUACAGUAGAGGUGGGCGGAAUUCGUGGUGUAGCGGUGAAAUGCUUAGAUAUCACGAAGAACUCCGAUUGCGAAGGCAGUUCACUGGACUGCAACUGACACUGAGGCUCGAAAGUGUGGGUAUCAAACAGGAUUAGAUACCCUGGUAGUC
This 460-nucleotide ribosomal RNA is filed under the name uncultured bacterium. Its description in RNAcentral is "partial 16S ribosomal RNA". It matches the Rfam family "Bacterial small subunit ribosomal RNA", at positions 338 to 795 of the family's 1533-position model. The record is from RNAcentral.